This 559-nucleotide long non-coding RNA is filed under the name Macaca mulatta (Rhesus monkey). Its description in RNAcentral is "lncRNA (ENSMMUG00000052246.1)". Lineage: Eukaryota; Metazoa; Chordata; Mammalia; Primates; Cercopithecidae. The record is from RNAcentral.
AAUUUUAUGAAGAAUUACAUUAUUCCUCUUUUUUUCUUUGUUCAUUAUAGUGUGAGAAGAGUGUUUUUCCCCCUUUCUUGGUGUUGAAACUUAGAGGGCUAGAAGAUAUGAGUCAGCAAGCAUAAGUGAUCAAUAUCUGACUGUCACAGCACUGGCAACUCAGGAGAGUACUCAGAAGGCCCUCUUUAAAGUGAGGAAUGAAGGAGAAAGUUAUCAACUAUUCCUUACUGAGGUCAGUAAAGGGAAAUAUUUUAAAAUACGAGUCAUUCCACGCAGAUAAAUAGAGCCACAUAAUACUUUAUGACAUCAAUUUUGCUUUAUCAGAGUAGUUAAGCUCACACUGCAUUUAAAUCUAUUUUGAGUAAAAUCCCUCAUUCUGAACUAGAAGGAGGCAUUUCAACUGUAGCAUUGAACUAGAUUUUUAAAAAUAAAACUAAUUAUAUGUAAUUUACCACGUUUCUUUAUACUAACCUAUAUUAUUUCUACUCAUACUGAUAUUGGACAUUAUGUUUAUCAGAUCCCCCUCAAUUAUUCCUUAUUUGAAAAAUGUCAUUUUAAA